Molecule: unclassified non-coding RNA, 359 nt
Filed under: Bovista sp.
Lineage: Eukaryota; Fungi; Basidiomycota; Agaricomycetes; Agaricales; Lycoperdaceae
Description: partial internal transcribed spacer region
Rfam family: Eukaryotic small subunit ribosomal RNA (bases 1-46)
Source: RNAcentral
AAGUCGUAACAAGGUUUCCGUAGGUGAACCUGCGGAAGGAUCAUUAUUGAAUAUUCUUGAUAAGUUGUAGCUGGCUCUUCGGAGUAUGUGCACGCUUAUCUUGACUCUAUUCAUCCACCUGUGCAGCUUUUGUAGUCUUGUGGUUUGAGUGCAGUCAACUAUCAGAUAUGGCUAGCGCCUUUCUGGAUGUGAGAAAUGCUGAGUGCUAAUGCAUACAGCUCUUCUCAAAAUGACUUGCAAACCUCUUUCCCAAGUACUAUGUAUUCAUAUACCACAUAGUAUGUUGUAGAAUGUGAUCAAUGGGCUUAUAUGCCUAUAAUAAUCAUAUACAACUUUCAGCAACGGAUCUCUUGGCUCUC